RNAcentral lists this ribosomal RNA (1686 nucleotides) under Vibrio cholerae. Its description in RNAcentral is "partial 23S ribosomal RNA". It matches the Rfam family "Bacterial large subunit ribosomal RNA", at positions 1281 to 2925 of the family's 2925-position model. The record is from RNAcentral. Lineage: Bacteria; Pseudomonadati; Pseudomonadota; Gammaproteobacteria; Vibrionales; Vibrionaceae.
AUCAGAAGUGCGAAUGCUGACAUGAGUAACGACAAAGGGGGUGAAAAACCUCCUCGCCGGAAGACCAAGGGUUCCUGUCCAACGUUAAUCGGGGCAGGGUGAGUCGACCCCUAAGGUGAGGCCGAAAGGCGUAAUCGAUGGGAAACGGGUUAAUAUUCCCGUACUUCUGACUAUUGCGAUGGGGGGACGGAGAAGGCUAGGUGGGCCAGGCGACGGUUGUCCUGGUUCAAGUGCGUAGGCUUGAGAGUUAGGUAAAUCCGGCUCUCUCUAAGGCUGAGACACGACGUCGAGCUACUACGGUAGUGAAGUCAUUGAUGCCAUGCUUCCAGGAAAAGCCUCUAAGCUUCAGAUAGUCAGGAAUCGUACCCCAAACCGACACAGGUGGUCGGGUAGAGAAUACCAAGGCGCUUGAGAGAACUCGGGUGAAGGAACUAGGCAAAAUGGUACCGUAACUUCGGGAGAAGGUACGCUCUUGAUGGUGAAGUCCCUCGCGGAUGGAGCUGACGAGAGUCGCAGAUACCAGGUGGCUGCAACUGUUUAUUAAAAACACAGCACUGUGCAAAAUCGCAAGAUGACGUAUACGGUGUGACGCCUGCCCGGUGCCGGAAGGUUAAUUGAUGGGGUUAGCGCAAGCGAAGCUCUUGAUCGAAGCCCCGGUAAACGGCGGCCGUAACUAUAACGGUCCUAAGGUAGCGAAAUUCCUUGUCGGGUAAGUUCCGACCUGCACGAAUGGCGUAAUGAUGGCCACGCUGUCUCCACCCGAGACUCAGUGAAAUUGAAAUCGCUGUGAAGAUGCAGUGUACCCGCGGCUAGACGGAAAGACCCCGUGAACCUUUACUACAGCUUGGCACUGAACAUUGAACCUACAUGUGUAGGAUAGGUGGGAGGCUAUGAAGACGUGACGCCAGUUGCGUUGGAGCCGUCCUUGAAAUACCACCCUUGUAUGUUUGAUGUUCUAACUUAGACCCAUUAUCUGGGUUGAGGACAGUGCCUGGUGGGUAGUUUGACUGGGGCGGUCUCCUCCCAAAGAGUAACGGAGGAGCACGAAGGUGGGCUAAUCACGGUUGGACAUCGUGAGGUUAGUGCAAUGGCAUAAGCCCGCUUAACUGCGAGAAUGACGGUUCGAGCAGGUGCGAAAGCAGGUCAUAGUGAUCCGGUGGUUCUGUAUGGAAGGGCCAUCGCUCAACGGAUAAAAGGUACUCCGGGGAUAACAGGCUGAUACCGCCCAAGAGUUCAUAUCGACGGCGGUGUUUGGCACCUCGAUGUCGGCUCAUCACAUCCUGGGGCUGAAGUCGGUCCCAAGGGUAUGGCUGUUCGCCAUUUAAAGUGGUACGCGAGCUGGGUUUAGAACGUCGUGAGACAGUUCGGUCCCUAUCUGCCGUGGGCGUUGGAAGAUUGAAGGGGGCUGCUCCUAGUACGAGAGGACCGGAGUGGACGAACCUCUGGUGUUCGGGUUGUGUCGCCAGACGCAUUGCCCGGUAGCUAAGUUCGGAAUUGAUAAGCGCUGAAAGCAUCUAAGCGCGAAGCGAGCCCUGAGAUGAGUCUUCCCUGACAGUUUAACUGUCCUAAAGGGUUGUUCGAGACUAGAACGUUGAUAGGCAGGGUGUGUAAGCGUUGUGAGGCGUUGAGCUAACCUGUACUAAUUGCCCGUGAGGCUUAACCAUACAACACCCAAGGGGUUUUGUA